Molecule: unclassified non-coding RNA, 156 nt
Filed under: uncultured fungus
Lineage: Eukaryota; Fungi
Description: sequence contains ITS1
Source: RNAcentral
CAAGAAACGAGGCCGCGUGCGGUUCGCCCGCCCGGCCCCGCUCCUUACCUUGCCUACUGCACCAUUCGUUGCUUCCUGGCGGCGGCGUGCCUGCCGCCAGGGACAUUGAUACAACCCUGUAUAAGCAUUGAAGCUCUGAGAAAACGCGAAAUCGUA